GGAAAUCACGGUAGAGUAAGACCACUUGAUCUGGUUAAAUUCCAUCACCAAGAAUUUCAUUAAAAUGAGGUAUAAUCAAUCAACAAAUCAUAAAAUACAAUAUGAACACAAUGGAAAUGCAUUAAACUUCAAGAAAGGAAACAGCUUCCACAUCUUAAUUCAUAGGUCGUUUAAAUGCUGGUGACGAAGGGUUGAAUCCAAAUCAGAAGCACCAUGCCUAAUGCUAGUUCUAUUAAGCAUUUUAUGAGAAAAACAAACUUAAAAGCUUUGCAGAUCAAGUAUAGAAUUUGUAUUUAUCACAUUCAACAGG
This 310-nucleotide unclassified non-coding RNA is filed under the name Hevea brasiliensis (rubber tree). Lineage: Eukaryota; Viridiplantae; Streptophyta; Magnoliopsida; Malpighiales; Euphorbiaceae. The record is from RNAcentral.